This 315-nucleotide unclassified non-coding RNA is filed under the name plant metagenome. RNAcentral's name for it is "partial contains 5.8S ribosomal RNA, internal transcribed spacer 2, and large subunit ribosomal RNA". The stretch from base 1 to 105 matches the Rfam family "5.8S ribosomal RNA", at positions 50 to 154 of the family's 154-position model. The record is from RNAcentral.
GAACUGCGAUAAGUAAUGUGAAUUGCAGAAUUCAGUGAAUCAUCGAGUCUUUGAACGCACAUUGCGCCCCCUGGCAUUCCGGGGGGCAUGCCUGUCCGAGCGUCAUUGCUGCCCUUCAAGCCCGGCUUGUGUGUUGGGUCGUCGUCCCCUCCGGGGGACGGGCCCGAAAGGCAGCGGCGGCACCGCGUCCGGUCCUCGAGCGUAUGGGGCUUUGUCACCCGCUCGAUAAGGACCGGCCGUGCGCCAGCCGGCGUCUCCAACCUUUUUUUCUCAGGUUGACCUCGGAUCAGGUAGGGAUACCCGCUGAACUUAAGC